This 500-nucleotide ribosomal RNA is filed under the name uncultured bacterium. RNAcentral's name for it is "partial 16S ribosomal RNA". It matches the Rfam family "Bacterial small subunit ribosomal RNA", at positions 30 to 523 of the family's 1533-position model. The record is from RNAcentral.
AUUGAACGCUGGCGGAAUGCUUUACACAUGCAAGUCGAACGGCAGCACGGACUUCGGUCUGGUGGCGAGUGGCGAACGGGUGAGUAAUGUAUCGGAACGUGCCCAGUCGUGGGGGAUAACGUAGUGAAAAUUACGCUAAUACCGCAUACGAUCUAUGGAUGAAAGCGGGGGAUCGCAAGACCUCGCGCGAUUGGAGCGGCCGAUAUCAGAUUAGGUAGUUGGUGGGGUAAAGGCCCACCAAGCCAACGAUCUGUAGCUGGUCUGAGAGGACGACCAGCCACACUGGAACUGAGACACGGUCCAGACUCAUACGGGAGGCAGCAGUGGGGAAAUUUGGACAAUGGGCGAAAGCCUGAUCCAGCCAUUCCGCGUGCAGGAUGAAGGCCCUCGGGUUGUAAACUGCUUUUGUACAGAACGAAAAGGUUUCUACUAAUACUAGGAGCUCAUGACGGUACUGUAAGAAUAAGCACCGGCUAACUACGUGCCAGCCGCCGCAGUAA